This 791-nucleotide ribosomal RNA is filed under the name uncultured fungus. RNAcentral describes it as "SSU rRNA". It matches the Rfam family "Eukaryotic small subunit ribosomal RNA", at positions 556 to 1358 of the family's 1831-position model. Lineage: Eukaryota; Fungi. The record is from RNAcentral.
UUCGCCUUGUGCCAGCCGCCGCGUAAUUCCAGCUCCAAUAGCGUAUAUUAAAGUUGUUGUGGUUAAAAAGCUCGUAGUUGAACCUUGGGCCUGGCUGGCCGGUCCGCCUCACCGCGUGCACUGGUCCGGCCGGGCCUUUCCCUCUGUGGAACCCCAUACCCUUCACUGGGCGUGGCGGGGAAACAGGACAUUUACUUUGAAAAAAUUAGAGUGCUCCAGGCAGGCCUAUGCUCGAAUACAUUAGCAUGGAAUAAUAAAAUAGGACGCGCGGUUCUAUUUUGUUGGUUUAUAGGACCGCCGCAAUGAUUAAUAGGGACAGUCGGGGGCAUCAGUAUUCAACUGUCAGAGGUGAAAUUCUUGGAUCAGUUGAAGACUAACUACUGCGAAAGCAUUUGCCAAGGAUGUUUUCAUUAAUCAGGAACGAAAGUUAGGGGAUCGAAGACGAUCAGAUACCGUCGUAGUCUUAACCAUAAACUAUGCCGACUAGGGAUCGGACGGUGUUAUUCAUGACCCGUUCGGCACCUUACGAGAAAUCAAAGUGCUUGGGCUCCAGGGGGAGUAUGGGUCGCAAGGCUGAAACUUAAAGAAAUUGACGGAAGGGCACCACCAGGGGUGCAGCCUGCGCUUAAUUUGACUCAACACGGGGAAACUCACCAGGUCCAGACACAAUAAGGAUUGACAGAUGAGAGCUCUUUUCUUGAUUUGUGGGUGGGGCUGCAUGACCGUUCUAGGUGGUGGGGUGACUUGUCUGCUUAAUGCGAUAACGAACGAGACCUUAACCUGCUAAAUAG